UUUAAUGAUGGCUAGUCAGUCGCAUGUAAUCCAUGAAGCUAGAACAGCAUGUGGGUCGAAGGCAUGACAGGAGGGAGCACAAAGUCUGGACUUUGUCCUCCAUUAUUUUAAGUUGUAUGUAUAACACAAUUCUACUGGGAAGGGCAGCCCAUUUAGCUACCCUAAGUAUGUUUCCCCUAUAAUGACUGAAAUUCUCCGGAGGCUGUAUUCCUUGAUUUUAAGCUAAUUUUAAAUAAAUUGAUCGCUCAAGACAUUCCUAAACUGUUCAGUUGACUCCUCUACAAUCUGAACAAAUGCCAAAGAGCCUGAAUUGGGCAAAAGAGAGAGAGUGCUUCAUUGGAGCAGGCCAAUAUAUGCCCCUUGUGACCUCAUCACUCAGCCAGUCCCCUGGAUAUCCCAAUACAUGUCUGGUAAAUAGCCACUGAGUAGGUGGACUUAAAGACCCCCACGACCCCCUCAUUACUUCAUCCCAGGAAUAGGUGGUUAACAACGCACCCUUUCCUCCUUGAUACCUGGCUGGACCACUGUAGUUCAACAUGGCGGCUAGAGCUUGCUGACUUCUCUUACCUAAGAGAGUUCUUGUUUACAGGCUCCUUUAUCAGGAACCCAGGAGGAGAGCAUAAAGGAAGAAAGUAUGUAUGACCAAGGAAUAGCUGUGAAAGGACAUGCAUGGAAGCGGCCUAUGUGGCCAGGGCAUCCAUGCCUCUGAUGCCGCGAGGCUGUCUGCGUGCCCUCACGGGGUCACUAAGCUCAGAGCUCAGGGCUCCCACGUUUGCUCUCUCCUGGGUGGACCAUUUCCCGGCCGGCCCCUGCCUUGUCUCUGGUCUGCACCUCUGGCUUCCUGAGCUGCUCUCUGCUGCCAUCUGCUGGCGCUCAGCUGCCAUCUCCUAAGCACAAACUGCCGCAAGGAUUGGAAGCUCUUACUAAUGAGACUGAAGACACAGGCAGAAAUAGUCCUGAAGGGGAGGAAGAUGGGGAGCUAUCUGAAGACACUGAUGCCAAUCUAGAGGAAACUCAUUAGCCAAUGAAAAUUUUUAAGAUGAAAGCAACCUCGAAUAGCAGGAUAAGACAAAAGAAUAGUAUAUUCCUAUACGUUUUGUUAAGAGUCCUGUGAACAUCCAGAAUGAUGGUAAGAAAAACAAAAAAUGUCCUUUUAAAAGUAAUCUUUGGGGGCAGGAAGAAGAUCAGAGAAGAAUAGCUCUGACUGGGGUAGACUGGACAACAGAUGGCGGUGAUAAGGCUGAAAGACACCUCUCAUUUUGUUUGUUUCUCUUCCUGGGGGACUAAUCUUUGGACUAGUAAAGACAGAAGAGACAUUGUUAGCUGGGAGUGUAAUCUUCAGAUCAAUGAGAAGGAUAGUCAGAGAGCAUUGAUCUACCUUCAAUGAGUGCAAAUGUAUUCAUUUAGAUGAAAUAUAUCCUUGAGUAUUUAAAGAACUUCCAGCUCAUUAACCUCCUCAAUUCCUAUGCCACAGUCUUAGAGCUAGAAGGCACUUUCUAGAUUAUGGAAAGCUGCCAUGUCAGAUGGCAGAUAAAGAAACUAAGGGAAGAGUUCGGUGAAACAAUCAGCUCUCUCAUCUCCCCUCCCUCUGACAUCUACAUCUGUCAGCAUCUUCACCAGACCUCUGCUCUGGUCCCAGAGGAUAAGGGGGACCCUUAUCCUUUCUCUUCUUGUGUCUUUGAUCCACCCCUCCCAUCUCCUUGGGGAGCUUUCUUCAUUGAUCAUGCCCCCAUUCUCUAUUAUCUUAAUGCUUCUCUUUACCUACUGCUUCCUUUCCAAAUCCCUACAAACAUGCUCCUAUAGCUUCUUUCCUUAAAAACAACAACAAACAACUCUUCCUUUUACUGUGCCAUAUGCUCAAGCUGCCUUCUUAUGUUUUUCCUUUUUUUAUAACGGAGCUUCCAGAAAGAGCAGUCCCAGAAAGAAGGUGAUCUUCUACUCUUGAUUCUGAAACUGGUCUCUCAAGGGUCUCUAAUGACAUUGAAAAAAAAUCCUUUCCUUUUGUCGUGGAAUUAAUAUUAAGGGCUAGGCAAUGGGGAUUAGGUGACUUGCUCCGGAUCACUCAGCUAGGAUCACAUUUGAACCCAGAGCCUUCCAACUCCAGGCUUACUUAGUCUCUAUCCAUUGAAGUACCUAGCUGACCCCAAUGACAUUUUAAUUAUUCAAAUCAGUGACUUUUCUGGAUCUUUAUAGUGCAUGGCCUUCGGAAGGAUUUGACAAUGAUGACUUUCUCUUCCAUAUCUCCAUUCAGGUAGCUUUUCUGCCUAUGCUCUCCUUUUUCAAUUUCUUCUUCUAUAUAUUGUCUUUCCUCCAAUACAAUGUUAGUUCCUUGAGGGCAAGGGUUGUCCUUCUUUCAUUUUUCUUUUUUUGGCUUCUAUUUAUAUUCCCAGUGCUUAGCACAGUGAUUGGCUCAUUUAAUAAACCUUUAUUGACUUGACUACUCUUUCCACCUUGGUUCCUUUAAUAUUGCUUUCCUUGAGUUCUCCUGCUGAUCUAACAAUUUUUCUCUUCCAUUUCCUUUCCUGAGCCAUCUUUUUCUUCUUGCCCUCCAAGUGUGGGUAUAUACCUCGUCUCUCUCUUUCCACUCUCUUUCAUCUGCUCCCAGAACUUCAAUGAUCACCUCUACACAGAAAGCCCUCCAAUACAGUCCAAGCCCUACUCCUUUUCCUGAUUUAUCGCCGGCCUGAUGGACAUCUCCACUUGGAUGUCCUAUUGGUGUCCAAAAUUGAAUCUGUCAUCUUCCUGCUUAAAUAGGACUCUAAAACCUGGUUCUAACUCUGAAUAAAGCUACUAUUUUCUCAGUCAUCCCACCGUCCAGUUCUGAAACGUUGGUCAUCUGUAAUUCUUCCCUCUUGAAUGUAUCCCUGUAGCAUCUUAGAUUUGACUUUUUUGCUUCUUGGACAGGGUCGAAAUAGUGGUUCUAGCUAUCAUUCCUUGCGGUCUGUUGCUACUUCUCAUUAGUUUCCUAGCUGCACUCCUUGCUUAAAGUGUCUCCCCUUUCUAAUCCUUCCUUCAGAAAGCUAAAGAACUCUUAGUUUUUUAGUUUUAUAAGGCUUCUAGGGUAGCUAGGAAGUACAGCGGAUAAAGCACAGAGCCUGGAGUCAGUACAAAUCCAGCCUCAGACACUUAUUAGCUGUGUGACCCUGGGCAAGUCACUUAACUCUGUCUCAGGUCCUCAUCUGUAAAAUAAGCUGGAGAAGGAAAUGGCAAACCACACCAGUAUUUUUGCCAAGAAAACCCCCAAACAGGGUCAUGAAGAGUCACGCAAGACUGAAAUGACUGAACAAGGCCAAGAGCUUUGCUAUUUCUGUCUGUCUUAGUGCCUAGCUUUGAACACGGUAGGCAAUUAAUAAAUUUUUGUUAGAGAGCUCUAUUUUAUCUUCCUGUCGGAAAAAAGACCCAUGUGUUUUCAAAGGCCAAGAAGCUUAGACAGCAACCACAAUUUAUCUUUUGACCUCAAAUAAGGGCAGUGAUUUUGAUGCUGGAAAUUCCUUUGUCAAAUCUCACUGGGACCUCUAGAUGAGAGUAAAGUUUGGGAAGUCUAAUGCAUACAGUCUGAAGAAGUGGACCAGAUGUUCCUGAAAAGUACUGGACUGGGGACCAGAAACCUGGGUUCUAGUCUCUGAACUCACACUAGCCAGCUAUAUGGCAGCAAGUCCCUUCUCUCAGUGCCUCAUUUUCUCCAUCUGAUGGAGACUAAGUAAGGCAUGCAGCUAGGAAACAAAUGCAAAAUGGCAAAAGGCAAUAAGAAACAAAAUGACUAAAUACUCACAAUAUUAAGAAUGAGGCGUCUAUGAUUAGGGUGGUCACUUGAUAAACAUCCACACAUAACUGGACAUGUCUUUAAGACUCAUGUAGCUCCCUCUUAAAAGUACUUUUUCUUUCUGUUUUCUACCUCCCAUCCUAGCCUUUUAACAUCAACACUACUUAUUCUAAAGCCUUUGACACACAAAACUUGACACUAGAGGCCCUGGAAACAAAGGCAGAACAACAAAGCUCCUGCCCUUAAGAAACAGACAUUCUAUUAUUUUGUUAUUUUCAAUUUGGGGUUUUCUUGGCAAAGACACCACAGUGGUUCACCAUUUCCUUCUCCAGAUCAUUUUUACUGAUGAGGGAGAUGAGACCAACAGGGUUAAAUGACUUGCCCAGGGUCACAUAGCUAGUUAAGUGUCAGAGGCAGGAUUUGAACUUAUGGAGAUGAAUCUAUAUCCCCUGCACUGCCGAGCUGCCCAUAUCUGAAAAGAAUACAAUAUGAACACAAAUACAGGGUACAGUUUCCUCCAUGAAUUUUUCUCUAGUGAAAGCGAUAUGUAUUCUCUGUCACAACACUUAACUCCAGCUGCCUAGCCCUUCUCUCUCUUCUGCCUUAGAAUGGAUAAUCAGAAGGUAAGGAUUUAAAAAACAUCUUUGGUGGGUCACAGUUUCUAAGCAGGGCAGACCUCAUUUGAGGGGGCUGCUAAGAACCCCUUCUAGUGACACUGUCAAGAGUCUCUUUAACGACAAGAACACUGGAAGCUCUGUUGAAGUAGUCUGAGGGGAGUUUCUGAUUCUGAGGCUGGAGAUAAGGUGGAUAAUUUGUAAAAAAGUAGGUUCCAAGAACUAUCAUGAAUCUGGGGUGAGAAUUACUGUUAGUUGUUUCUCCCAGUUGUUUCUGAGCCACCACUGAAGAGAAGAGACAGCUAGUGAACUUUUUCAGUGACAAAGAAAUGAUAAAUCACAUUGAAGGAAAAGACUUUUUUUUUUUUUUAACAAAGGAAGAAAAACUAUAUUUAGAAAUCCACUUUAAAUGAAGCAUAAAGAAGGGUAAUUGCUAGAAUCCAGGCCCUAGAGAUCUUGGUUUCUUUACUCCCUACUGGCUCAUAUUCCUCAUGGGAGUGCACCUACCCCAGAAGACACAACCAACACUCCUUCUACUGCUUCAUAAUUUAAAAAUCUAGGCUUUUCCCCUGAGAGGUUUCCAAUCCUCUCCAACAGAGACCAUACCUUUCCCUAUUCCUGUCUAACUCAAAAGACUAGAAAUGGCAGACAGAUUUCUGACUCACUAUGAUUAGUUCUAAACCAUUCUGCUAUUUUCUAUUAAUUAAACCCUUUCCUUCUGUCUUAGAAUUAAUACUGUAGAUUGAAGACAGGUAAGGGCUAGGCAAUGGGGGUUAAGUGACUUGCCCAGGGUCACACAGUUAGAAAGUGUCCAAGGACAGAUUUGAACCCAGGACUUCCCAUCUCUAGACCUGGUUUUCAAUCCACGGAGACACCCAGCUACCCCUUCAAUUACUCUUCAUUACUUUUCAUCUUUUGAAGUUCAUACAACCCAUGCAUACUGACUUAUCUUGUUACUGCCAUCUAUUCAUUUCUAGGUUAUUUCAUUUUCUCAGUGAAUCCAAUACCUGGUUUAUAUCUCUGUCCCUUGUGUUACUUUUAGGGAUUUCAAUAUUUACAAUGAUCAUUCCUCUAAAAACCUAAUUUAUUAAUUCUUUAAGUUCCUCAACUCCCUUCUCCACCCCCUACUUCAGCCACACAGCUGCAAGGCCAUACAUUGUCCAUUAUCAUCUCUCAAAAUCACGUCACUUUUUAAGAUGUAGGAUUUUGAAGUCCUAGUCUUUAACCACAGCUUUUUAUCCUUCUGUUGGUUCACCAGCAAUCCCUGGAUUCUCCAUCCUCAGGCUACUCGCUCCAUCACUAUUCUCCUAAUCCCUCCCUUUGGCUUGCCUAGCCUCUGGGUGCAUCCAGCCUUGACCACAUGGAAUAUCAAUAAUGUUUCACUGGCAGCUACCCUAGAACCCCUCCUCCCCUCGCCUUCCCUGCUGUGACCUUUUAUUCUGACUACUCGGUGAAUCAUCAUCCCAGGUUAACCCCAACUUGGCCUGGAAUUUUUGAACAUUGAAGAAGAAAAAUCACAAAAAUACCCCAGCGUUGUCCUUUUCAAAUUCCUAUUUUGGAACCUUGGUUUGGCCCUCACUGCUAUUCAGUGAUCAUUCUACUUAAUAUUAUGCUCCGUCCUCACCUGACUCCUGUAAUACUUGUAAGAGCAGGUUGCAAAGGAAAAGAUGGAACAUGGAAGAAGAGAUGAUUGACAGCCCGAGACCAUUGGGAACAGAGGCUCAUGGGAGAGAAGGACCUCGGGGCUUUCUGAGCUGGGAGCUCAAGGUGGCAGGGAGCACGUUUCCUUGCUGGAGAUCUUGUCAAGAGCUAACUGAGGAUUUCCAGUGACUAGCCCUGGGACGUCACCUGAAGAGUAUUUUGACAUCAGAGUACGUCUAUUAGCUUCUAUCAAGAGUGUCGGGUCUCUUCGGACCUUUGCUUUGGUGCUCGGGGAUCAUCCGUGCUUGGAUCUCUAUCUUUUCCUUUGCCAGCUGCUCUGACACUCAUCCUUUCUACUCCAAAUCUCCCCUUUGGCCCCCGAUGCCUGCCCAUGGUCGCUGCCAAAUUGUUUUUAACCCCUUACCUUCUGUCUGAUAGGGUGAAAGGGAUACUGACUAUAAAAAUUAGUUGGAUUUGCUCCAGGGUCCAUUUUUUAACAACAAUCCUUUGCCACUUAUAUGCUUAAGCUUGAGAAAAUGGCCCCUGCCCUAACCACUCCAACAGGGCUUGGACUGAGAAUGUGUAGGAAUUUUUCCUGAUAAGAUGCUCCUUUUCUCACCAGGAUAGGCUCCUGGGAUUUCCAGAUCAGAUAACUAUUAUCAGCCUAUCUCCUGGACAGAUUGUUUUUGUUUUUUUUUUCAUUCUACACAAGAGGUAACUGAAGCCCAAAAGUCACUCCAAGGAGUUACUGUCAGGAAUUUGUCUUUACGCCUCGUCCCUCAAGCCAAUUUUUUUCCCUUUUAUCUCUUCCUCAUUUUUCAAACGAGAAAAGCUGGCUAAUAUCUGUAUCUAAUAGGUUCCGGGGCUCCUACGUGUAUGCUCAUUCUGCUGAGAAUACAUUAAAAACACCCUUCGUUUCCA
Molecule: long non-coding RNA, 6939 nt
Organism: Monodelphis domestica (gray short-tailed opossum)
Lineage: Eukaryota; Metazoa; Chordata; Mammalia; Didelphimorphia; Didelphidae
Source: RefSeq, a predicted model, not a curated record